CUUUAGCACAACAUGACUUUGUUGACAGCUUUCUCGACUUAUCGUUGUCGCAAGUUAAUUAUAUUCGAAACUCUCUUGUCUAUGUCUUGUAACAAGUCCUAUGUCUUGACAAGCUUAGGGUCAUACUAGAUGCAGUAUUAUGCAGCGGGAAUAUACUAGACGGGAUGCAACCCUUAUCAGCUGCACCCCGAAUGUUUUGGGAUUAUUUGGUUAUCGCAAAUAGAGGGAGUUUCAGCUGAUCGUGAUUUCCGCCGAUGGCCUACACCUCGGCUUCAGUUUCCGAUUUCUUUUUUUUCUAAUAAAAUAGUCGAUGAGUCAAGUCGUGGAAAGUUCGUGUUGGAAAAAGAUCAUAACCUGCGUCCGUGAGACUUUUUUUUGUCACUGGAACUAUUAUUAGAGCAAAAAUUUAAGCCGGAAAAAUCUUCGUUCGGCGUAGCCAUCGCGCAGCUGGAUUGCCGCCCAGACCCCAAGGUUCGAAUGGGGCAGCCACAGGCGUGCAGAAAGAGAGAAAAUAACCUAGUCAAGCCUUCUAGUGGAACGCCCUUCCCAUCGAGUGCCAGAGGAGAUGCAGCCGCAGCGGGACCGCAACCGGCGAUAAGCCGGGACCCUAAGAUGUUUAGUUAAGUUAAUUGUGAGGUUAAAGGCGCGGAAAAAAUUUAGCGGGAUUUUUUUUUUUUUUUUUUUUUUGUAAAUUUUAUUAAUUGGAAUUACACAGUGCGAAGUUCCUGAUGAAGCGAACAUCUAAAAAUCUAAAUUAAAAAUCUAAAUUAUAUGUACAAAUUCUAGAUGAGCCUGUCUGACCUAACCUACAUCGGAAAAUUUAUUAAUCCCCGAACCGCCAUUUUGAACUGAAAGAAAUGAAGUUGCAUUUUUAUAUGAUGUAUAUAUGACAAGUUGUCACAAUAAGCUAUAGAAAAAAUGUGUACUCGAGAAGGAGACCUAGUUUAUAUCACUUUUGUAUUUUCUAAUUGUAUUUAAAUUGAAUUCCUUUGAGUAUUUAAUAAUUUUUAUAUUAUGUAAGCUAACCUAAUCUAAUUAUUUUUCUAAGAUGAGUUCAUUUUCAGAGAGUGCGCGUUUAAAUUUUCGGGUUCAAUUUGGAAAAGUUUGUUUGCAGUCGUUUGAUUCGAAAUUUGAGUGAGAGUAUCCGUGUGUUCAUACAUUCUCAAAGUAUUCGUGGAAAAUGCCAUGUGUAUAGUUGUGAUGCCUCGCUGCUUUGGCAUCAUAGUAAUGGGGUUCGCAAAUACGAAUCAUAUAUGCACGAUUUAUCUUCAGUUUAUUUCUCCAUUUAAAUUCAUUUUUUUUGUAUACAUAAAAACUACGUCUUAUCGCUAUGACCGCAAAAUUACAAGAGCCCUUUAGAAAGAAUACAGCUGAGUUCAAUUAGCAUCGACACAUAGAAUGUUAAUCCGCUGUUAUGACAGCUGUAGCACCGGGUGACUCCGCUCAUAAUCCGUACACCAUGCUUUCAUUUCAGCUCAUUUGCGCAAAAAUUUUUAUUGGAAAUAUCCCACGAAAUAAACUGAGAAAAAUUACGUGAGGUCAUCGUUUUGAUGGCCAACAAAAUUUUAUUUUUUAUUAUACACAAAAGAAAAAAUCAUGGAAGCUAAAUAGUAAAACUAAAUAAAUUUGGGAAUUUUUUUUUAUUUAUUGUUAAACUUUGCUUUCCAUGUGUUUUAAAAGAAAAGAACGAAUUCGAAUGAACACACUGCGAAUAAAUUAUUUGUUUCCAAUGGAGUGUCGGAAGCAGCCGAUUGAAUAUGAAAAGAAAAAUCUAACCGAAUUUACUCGCGACCCACUCCCACACUUCUUUUUUAUUUUUUUCUUUAAUAAUUCAUUAUAAUAAUAAUAAAAAUAGUAAUUUAUGGAACAAGAUUAUAGAGAAGAAAACUGCACUGGAAAUUAUGGGAGAAUUUAAAUAAAUGAUUUGUUCCUUCUCUUAAAUAUAUAUUUAGAAACCGGUUUCUUUAAUAACUUUAUAAACUUUUUUUCUGAAUUCGCAAUCUUGUUAAAAAUCAACCCUAGUUCGAUAUGUCGUUAAGUUGCGACUCUGGUGUGAACUGUAUCUUAUACAUACAUAUUGUUGGGUCAUGCAGCCGCAUGAUAUCUCAUA
This is a long non-coding RNA of Drosophila sechellia, 2110 nucleotides long. RefSeq lists it as uncharacterized. The transcript has 3 exons. NCBI's taxonomy places the organism in Eukaryota, Metazoa, Arthropoda, Insecta, Diptera, Drosophilidae. The record is from RefSeq and is a predicted model, not a curated record.